This 86-nucleotide transfer RNA is filed under the name Mycoplasmopsis canis. RNAcentral's name for it is "tRNA-Leu". It matches the Rfam family "tRNA". Rfam says of the family: Transfer RNA (tRNA) molecules are approximately 80 nucleotides in length. Their secondary structure includes four short double-helical elements and three loops (D, anti-codon, and T loops). The record is from RNAcentral. Lineage: Bacteria; Bacillati; Mycoplasmatota; Mycoplasmoidales; Metamycoplasmataceae. RNAcentral also lists the same sequence under 10 other names.
GCCCAGGUGGCGGAAUGGUAGACGCAAGGGACUUAAAAUCCCUCGGUCGCAAGACCGUGCUGGUUCAAGUCCAGUCUUGGGCACCA